UUUAGUAGAGAUGGGGUUUCACCAUAUUGGCAAGGCUGUUCUUGAACUCCUGACAUUAUGAUCCACCUACCUCGACCUCCCAAAGUGCUGGGAUUACAGGCAUGAGCCACCAUGCCCAGCCAAAGAUCAUUUUUUUAUAUAGACUUCAGCCCUUUGUAAAUAUUGUAACUGGGGAGUAUAGAGUAGAAAAAAAGUAUAGUUAAAACAUUUGUUCUACAAAUUAACCUUUAAAAAUAUAAUUACUGCUAAAAAUAGAGUGCUGUUACACUUAAGGAAAAUUAGUGCCAUUUUGGAAAUGAGAUCUUGUGCCAUAAAUACAGCUGAACUGAAUAUAAAUGUUCACAAAUUAAUGCUGUCAAAGGAAUGAGUAAAGCAGAAAAACUUUUAACCAGCAACAUUUCAAGUACGUAGUGUGAUCAAACAUGAUCAUCCAGAAUUUGUAUAUUUUUUUCUUUGUACAGAGGUUACAUAUUCUGGGUGUUCUUUUAUAAAGGAAACAUUUUAAAUCCCACAAAUUGACACUUUCUAUCUUCAAUGGACUAAGAUUUUUUUGGUCAGUAAUCUCUGAAAUUUCCUUAAAUUAUAUACUUAACAUAGCAGAGAAACUGGAUUGUUUUUGUAUAUAAGACUGCUUCCACCUGAAAUGCUGUCAUAAGUACUGGGGGGGUGGGGGAGUGCCCAUCUUGUACAUGAUAUUCUUAGAGGUAAUAAGGUAAUGAUGCAUGAAUUUAUUUUAUAAACUCUUGGACUAUGUAUUUGACAUGUAAAAUAUGUACAGUAUUAACGUCAACCAUCUCUUUAAAGUUAGCCUAUAAAUAUUGUUGUAUAAUUUUCUUUGGUCAGAAACACUUGUACUGAAUAGUGACACUCGGUAAGGAUUUUCAGUGCCAUUUAGCAAAACGUCUUUAGUCUAUGCAACUAGCAAAAAUCUGCAUAAUGCAACAACACAGUUUUCACACUUCAAAUUUUACAUGAGGGGUUCUUCACGAUUCUCCUGGAACCCAGUCUAGCAAAAUGAGAGGAAAGGCCCUAGGGAGAUUUAUUUCUGUUAAAUAGUUAACUCUGCUGAGUAUGACAAAUAGUGUCUACUAUCUCAACCCUCCAAAAUUUGC
RNAcentral lists this long non-coding RNA (1112 nucleotides) under Homo sapiens (human). Its description in RNAcentral is "HSALNT0295569". Lineage: Eukaryota; Metazoa; Chordata; Mammalia; Primates; Hominidae. The record is from RNAcentral.